UACGUAGGAGGCAAGCGUUUGUCCGGAAUCAUUGGGCGUAAAGCGCGUGUAGGCGGCUCGAUAAGUCUGCUGUGAAAGUCCAGGGCUCAACCCUGGGGAUGCCGGUGGAUACUGUCGAGCUCGAGUCCGGAAGAGGCGAGUGGAAUUCCUGGCGUAGCGGUGAAAUGCGCAGAUAUCAGGAGGAACACCGAUGGCGAAGGCAGCUCGCUGGGACGUGACUGACGCUGAGACGCGAAAGCGUGGGGAGCAAACAGG
Molecule: ribosomal RNA, 255 nt
Filed under: uncultured bacterium
Lineage: Bacteria
Description: partial 16S ribosomal RNA
Rfam family: Bacterial small subunit ribosomal RNA
Source: RNAcentral